AUAUCAAUAAGCGGAGGAAAAGAAACCAACAGGGAUUGCCUCAGUAACGGCGAGUGAAGCGGCAACAGCUCAGAUUUGAAAUCCGGCCCUAGGCCCGAGUUGUAAUCUGUAGAGGAUGCUUUUGGUUAGGUGCCUUCCGAGUUCCCUGGAACGGGACGCCACAGAGGGUGAGAGCCCCGUACUGUUGGACACCGAGCCUCUGUAAAGCUCCUUCGACGAGUCGAGUAGUUUGGGAAUGCUGCUCUAAAUGGGAGGUAAAUUCCUUCUAAAGCUAAAUACCGGCCAGAGACCGAUAGCGCACAAGUA
This 306-nucleotide ribosomal RNA is filed under the name uncultured Epichloe. RNAcentral's name for it is "partial large subunit ribosomal RNA". It matches the Rfam family "Eukaryotic large subunit ribosomal RNA", at positions 40 to 350 of the family's 3401-position model. The record is from RNAcentral. Lineage: Eukaryota; Fungi; Ascomycota; Sordariomycetes; Hypocreales; Clavicipitaceae.